Gorilla gorilla gorilla (western lowland gorilla) is the source of this 390-nucleotide long non-coding RNA. RefSeq lists it as uncharacterized. The transcript has 3 exons. NCBI's taxonomy places the organism in Eukaryota, Metazoa, Chordata, Mammalia, Primates, Hominidae. The record is from RefSeq and is a predicted model, not a curated record.
CUUGCGGCUUUUUUGCUCCUGUAGUUCAGUGAGCAGGAGGGAGUGGCACUCAGCAGCUUGUUCACUCCCACAGCUCGGUGAGCGGGAGGGAGUGUUACAGCUCUUUUACUCCUGCCAUCUUCAGCUUGGCUAGCAGGAGCAUUACAGCUCUUUCACUCCCACAGUUCUACAAGUUCUGAGUUCUUGUUUCACCACCUAGAAGAAUAAGGUAGUAUGGAGAAUAGUAACUACAUUCGCUAUGAACUUUUAAUCUCUAAUAAUCACAAUCACUUAGCUUUGACUUGUAUUUGUUCACAAUGUCCUGAAGAAACAAGUUUGAGCUUUUCUGACAUUAAGGUUCUUGGAAAACUUUACAUCAAUUACAGUGAAAGAGAACAAUCAAUAAAGCAC